Molecule: long non-coding RNA, 387 nt
Organism: Pseudophryne corroboree (corroboree frog)
Lineage: Eukaryota; Metazoa; Chordata; Amphibia; Anura; Myobatrachidae
Exons: 4
Source: RefSeq, a predicted model, not a curated record
GGUGGACCUUAAGACACUACGUCAGGGAUUGGAUUGGAUAGUGCUUUUUUGAAUCCAUCUGGUUUGCCCUUUUAUUUUUGAAGUCCAAACAGGAUUUAUUAGAAGGAAGCAUACGGAUAUACUACUGAUUUACUUCGGCCACACCCAUAAUUUGAAGGUCAAUUAGUACCUAAAAGAUGUGAAACCCUGAUGAAGUCCUAACGGACGAAAUGCGUUGGUUUUCUACGAAUUUGGGUUUUUAUGAAUUUGUGAACAGAUCACACAUGCUUUUUCGUGUUGAAGAAUAAGCACUUCACCGAACGACUGAGAACAUCAUACAAUAGAUUAUCACAAAUGAAUGUAUUACUCAAUCAACAUGUGUGAUCCUGCUAUUCAUGUUAUGGAAGU